Long non-coding RNA from Suricata suricatta (meerkat), 258 nucleotides. RefSeq lists it as uncharacterized. The transcript has 2 exons. The record is from RefSeq and is a predicted model, not a curated record. NCBI's taxonomy places the organism in Eukaryota, Metazoa, Chordata, Mammalia, Carnivora, Herpestidae.
CUUUGAAAUCACCUACCUAAUCCAUGGCCCUCAUUUCACAGAUGAAGAAACAGAUGUCGAGAAAGAUUAGGGAGUUGACUGGAUACUGCUUAUUAUACAAGCUGAUGGUGGAGAAAUAAUGAAAGAACAGCAAGUUGUUGGGAAAUGAAGUUCAUUCCUCUCAAUGGCUCCAGACUUGGGAUAAACCUGUCUCCGUGCUCAGAGAACACAAGAAGGUCUGAAUAAAAAGGUUUGCUCUCCAUGCCACCUUUGAAAACU